RNAcentral lists this ribosomal RNA (435 nucleotides) under uncultured bacterium. RNAcentral describes it as "partial 16S ribosomal RNA". It matches the Rfam family "Bacterial small subunit ribosomal RNA", at positions 28 to 507 of the family's 1533-position model. The record is from RNAcentral.
GAUGAACGCUGGCGGUAUGCUUAACACAUGCAAGUCGAACGGACUCUUCGGAGUUAGUGGCGGACGGGUGAGUAACGCGUGAGAAUCUGGCUUUGGGUUCGGGACAACCACUGGAAACGGUGGCUAAUACCGGAUGUGCCGAGAGGUAAAAGAGAAAUUGCCUGAAGAUGAGCUCGCGUCUGAUUAGCUAGUUGGUGAGGUAAAGGCUCACCAAGGCAGCGAUCAGUAGCUGGUCUGAGAGGAUGACCAGCCACACUGGGACUGAGACACGGCCCAGACUCCUACGGGAGGCAGCAGUGGGGAAUUUUCCGCAAUGGGCGAAAGCCUGACGGAGCAAUACCGCGUGAGGGAAGAAGGCUCUUGGGUUGUAAACCUCUUUUCUUAGGGAAGAACAAAAUGACGGUACCAAAGGAAUCAGCAUCGGCUAACUCCGUG